UCCGGAGGGUGCAAUCGUUACUCGGAAUCACUGGGCGUAAAGGGCGCGUAGGCGGCCUAGCAAGUCUGGUGUGAAAGCCCAGGGCUCAACCCUGGAAGGGCACUGGAAACUGUUAGGCUUGAGUUCCGGAGAGGAGGGGGGAAUUCCCGGUGUAGCGGUGAAAUGCGUAGAUAUCGGGAGGAAUACCGGUGGCGAAGGCGCCCCUCUGGACGGAAACUGACGCUGAGGCGCGAAAGCGUGGGGAGAAAACAGG
Molecule: ribosomal RNA, 253 nt
Filed under: uncultured bacterium
Lineage: Bacteria
Description: partial 16S ribosomal RNA
Rfam family: Bacterial small subunit ribosomal RNA
Source: RNAcentral